CCGCUUCUCUCACUCGGGCCUCGGGCAUCAAGAAUCCCUUUUCUGAAGUUGCCCUCCAGACGAGAGAAUCCGCCCUAUUUUUCUCUGCGACUCUCAAUCCUCGCAGAACAUCAUUGAAUCAAGAUUAUGUUGAUUUUGGUUUCACCUACAUUAAACUUGAGGGAAAGUGUCGUGAUCUUUUAGAGGAUCAAAAGGCAUCAAGAUCUCUUCAACUACCCUUGUGGGGAGGCUUCAUUCUUAAGAGUUGUUGAAUGUUGAGCUUUUCAUUGUCAAUUAAAGCAUCUGCCCCUGCUUCAUCUUCACGAGCACAGACCACAACUGCUUCGCCCGUGUUUGGUGUUCCUACUUCCACUGCUGCAGCUGUAACAAGUUCCAGUUCGAGUACUACUGCUGUUUAGGCAUCAUCAUCCCUGGUAGUAGCUUCUAGUAGUGGUUUCAUUACUGUUUUCUUCAUGCUGCCCUUCACUUCUUUGACUUCCAGUAUCAUCACCCCCUUCUGCCGGUUGACUAUCAUCGGACAUGGGAGCAUCCGAUUGUUGAUUAUGCUGAAGUCUUGAACUCCGGGUUUGCCUUUCAGCGUGAGUGUUUGCUGGAGCAAUACUGCGUAAUUGAGAUAGGAAAUGCUCCUCUACUGCUUGUGCGAUAAUGGUAGCCUGACUACUCCCUGGUGGCUGCUCAUCAUCAAAAUCAAAAUCCGAAAUUGGCCUUAUCAAUUUGCAGCCUGUAUCGAAACAUUCAUUUCACGGGAUGGAUUGUAAUGAAAACUAAUCUCAAUCCCAGCUAUGGCAGCGUCCUCACUCGAUACCCUCUCCUCCAUAUUCUAGAACAGAGCAAUGAACCCUCAAAGGUUCCUUGGGAUCAGACUUAGGAGACUGUCCUUCAAGAACAUGAACGCCAGCAAUUCUGAUAAGCCGUGGCAUUGCAUCUGAGCCUUGUGAAGAGUGACUUUAGAAAGGACUUCAAAGCAGACUUCUGAACUGCAAUGUAAUGAGCAUGACAGCCUUGGAAGUCCCAUCAGAAAAAGCCCAAAUUUCCCCCAUUGGAAGCCUCAAAUUCAACUUCUUGAUUCGUCAGAGAGGGUACCCUCAUCACUAGAGUUUUCCAAGUGGAUGUAAGCAUUAGUCCAAGUUGAAUAAAGGUGUGUAGUAAUAAAAUCUUGAAAUAUAGAAAGUAUAUAUUGGAUUUGAUUCACUUUCCAUAAUAUUAUAUCCUAAAUUUCUUUU
This is a long non-coding RNA of Vitis riparia (riverbank grape), 1223 nucleotides long. RefSeq lists it as uncharacterized. NCBI's taxonomy places the organism in Eukaryota, Viridiplantae, Streptophyta, Magnoliopsida, Vitales, Vitaceae. The record is from RefSeq and is a predicted model, not a curated record. The transcript is spliced from 6 exons.